Molecule: ribosomal RNA, 593 nt
Filed under: uncultured bacterium
Lineage: Bacteria
Description: bacterial SSU rRNA
Rfam family: Bacterial small subunit ribosomal RNA
Source: RNAcentral
AAUCAACGCUGGCGGCGCGCUUAACACAUGCAAGUCGCACGAGAAAGCCGGGGCAACCUGGUGAGUAAAGUGGCGUACGGGUGAGUAACACGUGGGUAAUCUACCCCUUAGUGGGGAAUAACCCUGGGAAACCGGGGCUAAUACCGCAUAAUCCUGGAAAGGGAAAGCGUCGUCCUCAAAAAACGACGCGCUGAGAGAGGAGCCCGCGGCCGAUUAGCUGGUUGGUGAGGUAACGGCUCACCAAGGCGACGAUCGGUAGCCGGCCUGAGAGGGCACACGGCCACACUGGCACUGAAACACGGGCCAGACUCCUACGGGAGGCAGCAGUGGGGAAUCUUGCACAAUGGGGGAAACCCUGAUGCAGCGACGCCGCGUGAGCGAUGAAGCCCUUCGGGGUGUAAAGCUCUUUCGGCAGGAACGAUAAUGACGGUACCUGAAGAAGAAGCUGCGGCUAACUACGUGCCAGCAGCCGCGGUAAUACGUAGGCAGCGAGCGUUGUUCGGAGUUACUGGGCGUAAAGAGUGCGUAGGCGGCUCCCCAAGUUUGGUGUGAAAUCUCCCGGCUUAACCGGGAGGGUGCGCCGAAAACUGGAG